CAUUAAAAGAUACAACAUGUCUAAAAUUUAUGAAUAUGCUAAUUAUUUUGUUCUCUUUACUUGUCAGUACAUACCUGGGGUAGUAUGCUCACUUCUAGAUGCCACUGCUUGGGAAGGACAUUUAUAAGCACAAGAAAAGGACAAUUUGAAAGUUCAUCCCUUAACUCUGGCCAGGACCCUGUUGCCAGCAGCGGCUUUGACUGAAAUAGACAUCAGGAGUGCCAAGUUUCCAGGCACCAGCUGCCAUGGUCCAUUCUCUAAGCUGCUGCGGUUGUACUGGCAGCUGUAUCAGCCUAAGACAGGCAGACAUCAACAGGUAAAGUGUGUGACUGCAAUUUUUUUCUCUAUAGACCCUAGGGGGUAUAAUGGUUGGGGGCUGGACUUGGGGGCAGGAAGAUCUGAAGUAAAAUCUGGCCUCAAAUAGCUAUUAGCUAUGCUGGUCUCUUUGUUAUCACAUAGGGUCACAAUGAGGUGGACAUUACUAAAAUGAUUGGACAACAAAAGACCUACUCAAAUUUUGCCAUAGAACCAUGGACUUCCAUAGAAAAUAGUGUGAGAAAUGUUGAUCUUGUUAAUUCCUUCAUUUUACAGAAAAGCAAACCAGAGAAGUAAAGGCACUUGCUCAAGAAGCCAGAGAGCUCAGGAGAGUUGUGCAAAGACCCACAAAAAAAUCACAAAUCCUCUGAGUUGGAUCAUGAAAUCAUAUAUCUAGAGUUGGAAGAGACCUCAGAAACCAUCUCAUCUAUUUCCUACUGCAUCGUGUUGCUGAUGAAAGAACUAAAGUCAAGUGACUUGCCUAAGAUCACACAGGUAGUAAAUUUCAGAGGUGGAUUUUAAACCCAUGUCCUUUCAUUCCAGAGACAGGAUUCUUUCCAUUAGAUGACAUCAACUGUGUCUGGUCUAUUAAGCAGCUUACCAUCUCUCUCUCUCUCUCUGGCUGCUUCAGGAUAAAGAAAUGGAUGGAAUGAGGAUAUAAUGAAAUAGAACCAAUGCUAAGGACAAAGUUCAUUCCUCCCUCUAUUCAUAGUCUCAUUGGCUCACUGACUUGGAACAACUGGCAGACCCAAAGCUCAUCUACUCCAACCCCCUCAUUUUCACGAUGAGGAAACAAAUUAAGUGAUUUUCCAAAGGCCACAAGGGUAAUAUACAAUAGAGGUGUGAUAUGAAUUUGGUUUUUCAGAUUGCAAAUUCAGUACUAUCUUCCCCUGUAUCACACUAACUGCUCCAUGGGACAAUAGGAAAGAUAGGUUCAC
This 1253-nucleotide long non-coding RNA is filed under the name Monodelphis domestica (gray short-tailed opossum). RNAcentral's name for it is "lncRNA (ENSMODG00000042502.1)". Lineage: Eukaryota; Metazoa; Chordata; Mammalia; Didelphimorphia; Didelphidae. The record is from RNAcentral.